AACGAACGCUGGCGGCAUGCCUAACACAUGCAAGUCGAACGAGACCUUCGGGUCUAGUGGCGCACGGGUGCGUAACGCGUGGGAACCUGCCCUUAGGUUCGGAAUAACUCCCCGAAAGGGGUGCUAAUACCGGAUAAUUUCUUCGGACCAAAGAUUUAUCGCCUUUGGAUGGGCCCGCGUUGGAUUAGCUAGUUGGUAGGGUAAAAGCCUACCAAGGCGACGCUCCAUAGCUGGUCUGAGAGGAUGAUCAGCCACACUGGGACUGAGACACGGCCCAGACUCCUACGGGAGGCAGCAGUGGGGAAUAUUGGACAAUGGGCGAAAGCCUGAUCCAGCAAGGCCGCGUGAGUGAUGAAGGCCUUAGGGUUGUAAAGCUCUUUUAUCCGGGAUGAUAAUGACAGUACCGGGAGAAUAAGCACCGGCUAACUCCGUG
This 433-nucleotide ribosomal RNA is filed under the name uncultured bacterium. RNAcentral describes it as "partial 16S ribosomal RNA". It matches the Rfam family "Bacterial small subunit ribosomal RNA", at positions 29 to 507 of the family's 1533-position model. The record is from RNAcentral.